This 301-nucleotide ribosomal RNA is filed under the name uncultured bacterium. Its description in RNAcentral is "partial 16S ribosomal RNA". It matches the Rfam family "Bacterial small subunit ribosomal RNA", at positions 509 to 809 of the family's 1533-position model. The record is from RNAcentral.
CAGUCGCCGCGGUAAAACGGAGGGUGCAAGCGUUAAUCGGAAUUACUGGGCGUAAAGCGCACGCAGGCGGUCUGACAAGUCAGAUGUGAAAUCCCCGGGCUUAACCUGGGAACUGCAUUUGAAACUGUCAGGCUGGAGUCUUGUAGAGGGGGGUAGAAUUCCAGGUGUAGCGGUGAAAUGCGUAGAGAUCUGGAGGAAUACCGGUGGCGAAGGCGGCCCCCUGGACAAAGACUGACGCUCAGGUGCGAAAGCGUGGGGAGCAAACAGGAUUAGAGACCCGCGUAGUCCCUGUCUCUUAUAA